CGGUGCGAAAAUACCGAUACUAAUGCACCGGAUCCCAAUAGAACUUCGCAGUGAAGCGUGUUUGGAGAGUAGUAGUAGGAUGCGUGACCUCCUAGGAAGUCCUCGUGUUGCACCCG
Molecule: non-coding RNA, 116 nt
Organism: Beta vulgaris subsp. vulgaris (sugar beet)
Lineage: Eukaryota; Viridiplantae; Streptophyta; Magnoliopsida; Caryophyllales; Amaranthaceae
Source: Rfam